RNAcentral lists this ribosomal RNA (561 nucleotides) under uncultured Bacteroidota bacterium. Its description in RNAcentral is "bacterial SSU rRNA". It matches the Rfam family "Bacterial small subunit ribosomal RNA", at positions 340 to 919 of the family's 1533-position model. Lineage: Bacteria; Pseudomonadati; Bacteroidota. The record is from RNAcentral.
UACGGGAGGCAGCAGUGGGGAAUUUUCCGCAAUGGGCGAAAGCCUGACGGAGCAAUACCGCGUGAGGGAGGAAGGCCUUAGGGUUGUAAACCUCUUUUCUCUGGGAAGAAGAUCUGACGGUACCAGAGGAAUAAGCCUCGGCUAACUCCGUGCCAGCAGCCGCGGUAAUACGGAGGAUCCAAGCGUUAUCCGGAUUUAUUGGGUUUAAAGGGUGCGUAGGCGGAUUAUUAAGUCAGAGGUGAAAUUUUGCGGCUCAACCGUAACCUUGCCUUUGAUACUGAUAAUCUUGAAUUAACUUGAGGUAGGCGGAAUGUGACAAGUAGCGGUGAAAUGCAUAGAUAUGUCACAGAACACCAAUUGCGAAGGCAGCUUACUAAGGUUAUAUUGACGCUGAGGCACGAAAGCGUGGGGAUCAAACAGGAUUAGAUACCCUGGUAGUCCACGCCCUAAACGAUGAAUACUCGAUGUUAGCGAUAUACAGUUAGCGUCAAAGCGAAAGCGUUAAGUAUUCCACCUGGGGAGUACGCCCGCAAGGGUGAAACUCAAAGGAAUUGACGGGGA